Long non-coding RNA from Alosa alosa (allis shad), 263 nucleotides. RefSeq lists it as uncharacterized. The record is from RefSeq and is a predicted model, not a curated record. The transcript has 3 exons. NCBI's taxonomy places the organism in Eukaryota, Metazoa, Chordata, Actinopteri, Clupeiformes, Clupeidae.
CUGGGCUGGGACUGACUCCUGCUGCAGGGAAGGACAGGACAGACAUCAAUCACACACACCAGGAGAAGCACUACUACCGUCUCCUUUAUGCUUCUUCCUCCUCUUCCUCCUCUUCUUCACCCCUGAGCUGCCGGUCAGCUCCUCUGUUGGCCCUCCUUCCACACAGGAACCCAUAACACUUCACAUACCACUUUCUCUCGUGAUCUGAGGACCCCCAGCUUGCCGAAUCGGACGUGGAAGGGGGAGCACUGAAAGGAUCCAUC